UACGAAGGGUGCAAACGUUGCUCGGAAUUAUUGGGCGUAAAGCGCACGUAGGCGGCCAACUAAGUCGGAUGUGAAAUCCCCAGGCUUAACUUGGGAACUGCAUCCGAUACUGGAUGGCUUGAAUCCGGGAGAGGGAUGCGGAAUUCCAGGUGUAGCGGUGAAAUGCGUAGAUAUCUGGAGGAACACCGGUGGCGAAGGCGGCAUCCUGGACCGGCAUUGACGCUGAUGAGCGAAAGCCAGGGGAGCAAACGGG
This 253-nucleotide ribosomal RNA is filed under the name uncultured bacterium. RNAcentral's name for it is "partial 16S ribosomal RNA". It matches the Rfam family "Bacterial small subunit ribosomal RNA", at positions 524 to 776 of the family's 1533-position model. The record is from RNAcentral.